ACUACGGGAGGCAGCAGUGGGGAAUAUUGCGCAAUGGGCGAAAGCCUGACGCAUCGACGCCGCUUGCGUUCUUCCUUUCUUCUUCUCUUCCCCCUCUUUCCUCCUUUCCUCCCUUUCACUGUGCUACUCAGCAGUGAAUUUACUUUACCUUCCACAUAAUCACCGUCUCACUCCGUUCCCUCCGCCGCGGUCCUCCUGCGGUUUCGAUCUUUAAUCGGAAUUACUGGGCGUAAAUCUCUCGUAGGCGGUAUGUCAAGUCAAGGGUGAAAUCCCCGCGCUCAACGUGGGAAAUGCCUUUGAAAAUGGCAAACUGGAGUGUGUGAGAGGAUAGUGGAAUUCAAGGUGUAGGAGUGAAAUCCGUAGAUAUCUGGAGGAACAUCAGUGGCGAAGGCGACUAUCUGGCACAUAACUGACGCUGAGGAGCGAAAGCGUGGGUAGCAAACAGGAUUAGAGAAAAAGGUAGUC
Molecule: ribosomal RNA, 465 nt
Filed under: uncultured bacterium
Lineage: Bacteria
Description: partial 16S ribosomal RNA
Rfam family: Bacterial small subunit ribosomal RNA
Source: RNAcentral